GGGCCUGUAGUGUAGCUUGGAUAUCACGCGGGGCUUCGGACCCCGAAACUCCGGUUCGAAUCCGGGCAGGCUCG
RNAcentral lists this transfer RNA (74 nucleotides) under Candidatus Woesearchaeota archaeon. RNAcentral's name for it is "tRNA-Arg". It matches the Rfam family "tRNA". Rfam says of the family: Transfer RNA (tRNA) molecules are approximately 80 nucleotides in length. Their secondary structure includes four short double-helical elements and three loops (D, anti-codon, and T loops). The record is from RNAcentral. Lineage: Archaea; Nanobdellati; Candidatus Woesearchaeota.